UGGGGAUAUGGCGGAAUGGUAGACGCAGCGGACUCAAAAUCCGUUGGUUUCGACCGUGAGGGUUCGAGUCCCUCUAUCCCCAAC
RNAcentral lists this transfer RNA (84 nucleotides) under Brainea insignis. RNAcentral's name for it is "tRNA-Leu". It matches the Rfam family "tRNA". Rfam says of the family: Transfer RNA (tRNA) molecules are approximately 80 nucleotides in length. Lineage: Eukaryota; Viridiplantae; Streptophyta; Polypodiopsida; Polypodiales; Blechnaceae. The record is from RNAcentral.